UCACAACAGUGGGCUGAAUGC
RNAcentral lists this microRNA (21 nucleotides) under Gallus gallus (chicken). RNAcentral's name for it is "gga-miR-7476-3p". Lineage: Eukaryota; Metazoa; Chordata; Aves; Galliformes; Phasianidae. The record is from miRBase by way of RNAcentral.